AUUUAUAUAGUACAAAUUUAGUAUAAUUAAUUUCCAUUUAAUAGGUUAAAAAUUUUAUGUAAAUA
RNAcentral lists this transfer RNA (65 nucleotides) under Orthogonalys pulchella. Its description in RNAcentral is "tRNA-Gly". The record is from RNAcentral. Lineage: Eukaryota; Metazoa; Arthropoda; Insecta; Hymenoptera; Trigonalidae.